Molecule: transfer RNA, 88 nt
Filed under: Microbacteriaceae bacterium
Lineage: Bacteria; Bacillati; Actinomycetota; Actinomycetes; Micrococcales; Microbacteriaceae
Also listed under: 3 other names
Description: tRNA-Ser
Rfam family: tRNA
About the family: Transfer RNA (tRNA) molecules are approximately 80 nucleotides in length.
Source: RNAcentral
GGAGGUCUGUCCGAGCGGCCGAAGGAGUUAGUCUUGAAAACUAAUGAACUGAAAGGUUCCGUGGGUUCGAAUCCCACGGCCUCCGCCA